GGGCCCGUGGUCUAGCGGUAUGAUAUCGCCCUCACGCGGCGAAGAUAGGGGUUCAACUCCCCUCGGGCCCA
RNAcentral lists this transfer RNA (71 nucleotides) under Thermoprotei archaeon. RNAcentral describes it as "tRNA-Val". It matches the Rfam family "tRNA". From Rfam's summary of the family: Transfer RNA (tRNA) molecules are approximately 80 nucleotides in length. Their secondary structure includes four short double-helical elements and three loops (D, anti-codon, and T loops). The record is from RNAcentral. Lineage: Archaea; Thermoproteati; Thermoproteota; Thermoprotei.